GUGGGUGGAUUACAGCACAUAUACUAAACGAUACAGAGAUUAGUAUGGCCCCUCUGCAAGGAUAACAUGCAAAUUCAUGAAGUGUUCCAUAUUUUU
RNAcentral lists this small nuclear RNA (96 nucleotides) under Aotus nancymaae (Ma's night monkey). The record is from RNAcentral. Lineage: Eukaryota; Metazoa; Chordata; Mammalia; Primates; Aotidae.